Peromyscus leucopus (white-footed mouse) is the source of this 639-nucleotide long non-coding RNA. RefSeq lists it as uncharacterized. NCBI's taxonomy places the organism in Eukaryota, Metazoa, Chordata, Mammalia, Rodentia, Cricetidae. The transcript has 2 exons. The record is from RefSeq and is a predicted model, not a curated record.
GCUCAAACUUGAAGGUGGGGGGGACAGGACAGGGGACAGAAUGAAUAAUCACACAACUGGAAUUUCAAAACAAGCACAACUAUUUUCUAUGGAAGAGUUGAAGAAGGCUGCAUUACAGAGGACAGGAUGGUCGUGGAACUUGGCCAAUGAUCACAUGCUGGGUAGGGUCUCCAGCCAACAGGAGAACUGAGGUAUAAACAUUAAGGUGUAGCAGAUACUUACACAGGCUCUUGACACUUGAGUCUGAGGAUCUAUCAACCUGAAAUUGUAAGACUCAUUAUUACACACAUGUUGGUCACACUCAGAAGUUUAUAGGUCAUCGUGAAAUCACACAAUGUCCCAUAUGUGAAAAGCAAGGCCUGCUUCAGGGGAAGAUGACAGUCCUGUGUGAGCCUGUGCUGUGGUUUCUGCCUUUGUUGAACCAGUGUGUGAAAGCCAAGGUACCUGGUGUGGGAGAGUCCACAGCAAAUGGAAUGCAUCAGCAAGAAGUUUAGGAGAUCACCACACCAGGAGUGAGCCUAGAUAUACCAGCUAAAGAAGUGCUACCCUGUAACUCAACCAACCACUCGGAAGACUAAAAACAGGUGAAACUGACUUAAUUCAGUCUCUGCUACCAGUUAGACAUGUAAUGAACUUAAA